AUUGAACGCUGGCGGCAGGCCUAGCACUUGCAAGUCGAGCGGAUGAAGGGAGCUUGCUCCUGGAUUCAGCGGCGGACGGGUGAGUAAUGCCUAGGAAUCUGCCUGGUAGUGGGGGAUAACGUCCGGAAACGGGCGCUAAUACCGCAUACGUCCUGAGGGAGAAAGUGGGGGAUCUUCGGACCUCACGCUAUCAGAUGAGCCUAGGUCGGAUUAGCUAGUUGGUGGGGUAAAGGCCUACCAAGGCGACGAUCCGUAACUGGUCUGAGAGGAUGAUCAGUCACACUGGAACUGAGACACGGUCCAGACUCCUACGGGAGGCAGCAGUGGGGAAUAUUGGACAAUGGGCGAAAGCCUGAUCCAGCCAUGCCGCGUGUGUGAAGAAGGUCUUCGGAUUGUAAAGCACUUUAAGUUGGGAGGAAGGGCAGUAAGUUAAUACCUUGCUGUUUUGACGUUACCAACAGAAUAAGCACCGGCUAACUUCGUG
This 484-nucleotide ribosomal RNA is filed under the name uncultured bacterium. Its description in RNAcentral is "partial 16S ribosomal RNA". It matches the Rfam family "Bacterial small subunit ribosomal RNA", at positions 30 to 507 of the family's 1533-position model. The record is from RNAcentral.